UACGUAGGGUGCGAGCGUUAAUCGGAAUUACUGGGCGUAAAGCGUGCGCAGGCGGUUCGUUGUAUCUGAUGUGAAAGCCCCGGGCUCAACCUGGGAAUGGCAUUGGAAACUGGCGAGCUAGAGUGUGGCAGAGGGGGGUGGAAUUCCUGGUGUAGCGGUGAAAUGCGCAGAUAUCAGGAGGAACACCGGUGGCGAAGGCGGGUCUCUGGGCCGAUACUGACGCUGAGGAGCGAAAGCGUGGGGAGCGAACAGG
Molecule: ribosomal RNA, 253 nt
Filed under: uncultured bacterium
Lineage: Bacteria
Description: partial 16S ribosomal RNA
Rfam family: Bacterial small subunit ribosomal RNA
Source: RNAcentral